CAGUUAGUUGUCGAACUUUGAACAGCAUUAACUUAUUUCAGAAGUAAAUUAAAUAAAUUAAGUACAUAGUACCUACGAGCCUCUGACCAGCUGACAGGUUUAAGGCCUUCCUUACGGUCCGCGGCCUGCGAGGCGGGGUUUACUGGUUAGAUGAGGUGACUCAAGUGUGGUGGUGUUUCAGCUCCGGUGACACUGGGUGGUGUUAGCGUAGUGGCUAAGGAGAUGGGCUAGCUUACAGUAGCCAGAAAAGUUGCGGUUCAAGUCCUGACUGCCACUGUAGUUAGUGCCCUUGAGCAAGGCACUUCGCUGAGUUGUUUUGGGGAGGCUGGCCCUUGUAGGAAGUCACUUGUGAAAGUUGCUUUGGAUAAAAUCAUCUGCCAAAUUAAUAAGUUAAGUAUACACCAGCUGAGGUGAUCCUACUCUUGUGUUAAAAGAGGUGACACUGUAGCUGAGGUGAUCCUACUCUUGUAUUAAAAGAGGUGACAGUAUAGCUGAGGUGAUCCUACUCUUGUGUUAAAGGAGGUGACACUAUAGCUGAGGUGAUCCUACUGUUGUGUUAAAAGAGGUGACACUAUAGCUGAGGUGAUCCUACUGUUGUGUUAAAAGAGGUGACACUAUAGCUGAGGUGAUCCUACUGUUGUGUUAAAAGAAGUGACACUAUAGCUGAGGUGAUCCUGCUUUUGUGUUAAAAGAAGUGACACUAUAGCUCAUGUGAUCCUACUCUUGUGUUAAAAGAGGUGACACUAUAGCUGAGGUGAUCCUACUGUUGUGUUAAAAGAGGUGACACUAUAGCUGAGGUGAUCCUACUCUUGUGUUAAAAGAGGUGACACUAUAGCUGAGGUGAUCCUACUGUUGUGUUAAAAGAGGUGACACUAGCUGAGGUGAUCCUACUCUUGUGUUAAAAGAGGUGACACUAUAGCUGAGGUGAUCCUGCUGUUGUGUUAAAAGAGGUGACACUAUAGCUGAGGUGAUCCUGCUGUUGUGUUAAAAGAGGUGACAGGUAACACUAGCGCUGGAGUCAGGUGAGAUGACACUAGUGAGGUCUUCCUACUCUGGGCAGGUGUGGCUGCUGGUGUUUCUGCCUGCUUCCUCCUCCGCCAUCUUGAUGCCGCUUCGCUUCGCUCUGCUCUGCUCAGCUCCACUCUGCCCUAGACCUGCAGAUUCCUGACUUUUUCUGCUGUUUUUGUAAAGAAUGUUUUCCUCUUUUUUUUAAUCAAAUAAAGGAAAUGUGAACUCAAA
Long non-coding RNA from Sardina pilchardus (European sardine), 1239 nucleotides. RefSeq lists it as uncharacterized. Lineage: Eukaryota; Metazoa; Chordata; Actinopteri; Clupeiformes; Clupeidae. The transcript is spliced from 2 exons. The record is from RefSeq and is a predicted model, not a curated record.